RNAcentral lists this ribosomal RNA (252 nucleotides) under uncultured bacterium. RNAcentral describes it as "partial 16S ribosomal RNA". It matches the Rfam family "Bacterial small subunit ribosomal RNA", at positions 335 to 579 of the family's 1533-position model. The record is from RNAcentral.
ACUCCUACGGGAGGCAGCAGUGGGAAUAUUGGACAAUGGGCGAAAGCCUGAUCCAGCCAUGCCGCGUGUGUGAAGAAGGCCUUUUGGUUGUAAAGCACUUUAAGCGAGGAGGAGGCUACUGAGAUUAAUACUCUUGGAUAGUGGACGUUACUCGCAGAAUAAGCACCGGCUAACUCUGUGCCAGCAGCCGCGGUAAUACAGAGGGUGCGAGCGUUAAUCGGAUUUACUGGGCGUAAAGCGUGCGUAGGCGGC